CUAAUUUGAGACCUUGGUCAAGAACAUUUGGAUUUGUAUCAGAAUACGUUGGAAAUGAAUUUGAAACACUUGUGCUUCUGAACAUAUUGUAAAUAAAUACAUUAUUAUUUCUCAUUGAAAA
This is a long non-coding RNA of Amblyraja radiata (thorny skate), 121 nucleotides long. RefSeq lists it as uncharacterized. The transcript has 3 exons. The record is from RefSeq and is a predicted model, not a curated record. NCBI's taxonomy places the organism in Eukaryota, Metazoa, Chordata, Chondrichthyes, Rajiformes, Rajidae.